CUCCCUUUACAUAACUCAUGCUCCAUCUGAGGAAAUGCAUCUUUCUCAGUGAGGAUAAAUAUAUAGAAGAACACAACCGGAGUUACCUGGUGAGUUGUCCAAGUCUGAAAAAUAACAUGAUAAACCAAACAAUAUCUGCAAGCAGAACUGCAAGAUCUCAUGACAAAACAAUUUUACAGCUGUUCUUCAGCGUAAAAUUGAGAGAAUGUCUGAAAGAUACAAUUUCACAAGAAUCUUGGCACUUAAACUAUUUAUUGUUGGAGAGAUGACGAAUAUGACUGCAAGCAAAAACAAAACUAUCUCAACAAGUGAAAAAAAAAAAAAAAAAGGCAAAAAAGCAGGGAGG
Molecule: long non-coding RNA, 346 nt
Organism: Canis lupus familiaris (dog)
Lineage: Eukaryota; Metazoa; Chordata; Mammalia; Carnivora; Canidae
Exons: 3
Source: RefSeq, a predicted model, not a curated record